Molecule: ribosomal RNA, 253 nt
Filed under: uncultured bacterium
Lineage: Bacteria
Description: partial 16S ribosomal RNA
Rfam family: Bacterial small subunit ribosomal RNA
Source: RNAcentral
UACGUAGGGGGCAAGCGUUAUCCGGAUUCACUGGGUGUAAAGGGAGCGUAGACGGCCAUGCAAGCCUGGAGUGAAAGCCCGGGGCCCAACCCCGGGACUGCUCUGGGAACUGUGCGGCUGGAGUGCGGGAGGGGCAGGCGGAAUUCCUGGUGUAGCGGUGAAAUGCGUAGAUAUCAGGAGGAACACCAGUGGCGAAGGCGGCCUACUGGACGGUGACUGACGCUGAGGCUCGAAAGCGUGGGGAGCAAACAGG